UACGUAGGGGGCGAGCGUUGUCCGGAAUCAUUGGGCGUAAAGCGCGUGUAGGCGGUUCGGUAAGUCCGCUGUGAAAGUCGGGGGCUCAACCCUCGGAUGCCGGUGGAUACUGUCGGGCUUGAGUACGGAAGAGGCGAGUGGAAUUCCUGGUGUAGCGGUGAAAUGCGCAGAUAUCAGGAGGAACACCAAUGGCGAAGGCAGCUCGCUGGGACGGUACUGACGCUGAGACGCGAAAGCGUGGGGAGCAAACAGG
Molecule: ribosomal RNA, 253 nt
Filed under: uncultured bacterium
Lineage: Bacteria
Description: partial 16S ribosomal RNA
Rfam family: Bacterial small subunit ribosomal RNA
Source: RNAcentral